AUGGAGACGGCGGAGGAACCCUACGCCUACGCCUCCGACUCUUCCGCCUCCCAUACCGGCGCCGACGCCCCCGCCUCCAACCCGGGUGCCGCCGCCGGAGCGAGGAAGCGGAAGGCCCCGGCAGCCACGGCGAGGAAGCCUCGGAAGCAGCAGGCUCAAGAACCCAUUCAGAUCCCUGUAUACUAUGGACGAACCAAAGAGUUUUAUGGCGUGCAAGGCGAUGAUUUAGUUGAUUCUUCAUACAUUUCUCCUGGAGUAAAAGAUUGUGCACACGUUAUCGGCCAACUACCACUGCAGCCGCAGUCCAUGUCGUUGGUAGAUCUGCAACUCUGGAUCUUUAAGCUGUUCCGGCUCCAUCCAGAAACACAAGAUCUCUCUAUUAAGGGGUUCAUCAAACAACGGAAAACUGACUUGUUCGACGACUUCGAACCUGGCUGGUAUAUGGAGUACUGCCCGUGGGACACACGCUAUUUUCAAACUGACAAGUGCUGGAGUGCCUUUGCCAAUAAGUUAAAGCGGAAAAGGAAUGCGACACAAAAGUUCAUGUUGUAUGCAGAAUGCUCUGAGAUCAAGCACUAUGGUAUUUUGCUCAAAGCCGUGCACGAUGAUUACUCUCAGCUGGCAAGGGUUGUGUUUCCUGGGACGAAAUGCCUGACAACUUCUAACUUCCGUUUCCUCCGCCUAGUGGAAGACCUGUCAAUGACACCUAAGGAAAUUAUAGCUUAUCUCGCAGAACACUAUGGCGAGCAGAUGAACCCCCCUGAGGCGUGGAGGGCCAGACAGAAGGCUCUGGAGCGGGAGUUUGGUACAUUUUACGAUUCACACAACUUUGCCCCAAGGUUACUUAAGGACAUAACAUGUAAAACCCCUUGGGGUUUUGUAGACAUCAAGGAUGCGGAGGUUGCAGGAUGUAGCAACUUUCGAGUCCUCCACCGUAUAUUUUGGGCUUUUGGGCAGUGUGUGCAGGCCUUCAAUCAUUGUCGCCCUGUGCUAUGCAUUAAAGGCACACCACUAUGCGGGAAAUACCAAGAGGUGUUGCUGACUGCUAUAGCAUUAGAUGCUAAUGGUUACUCCAUUCCAGUAGCAUGUGCCGUCGUUGAGGGGGAGACCGAGGAAAGCUGGAUGUGGUUUCUUAGGAAUUUGGAGCAAGCAGUGAGGCAUCCAUCGGAUGUUUGCAUUUUACAUGACUACAAAAGAGAGUUGAUCGAUGCUAUAGAGGACUUUCUAAGUUCCGACCAACGACAAUGGCGGAAAGUAGAAAGCCGGUGGUGCAUGGAACACCUUGCCGAAGACUUCUUUGCAUAUUUUGGUGACAAGAACCUGGUGUUGAUGUUCAAGAAACUUUGUCAGCAGAGGCGACUAAAUAAGUUUGUUAAAAUCUGGAAGGAGCUCGACGAGUUGACAACAAAAUAUACAUCAGAGAGAGAAGGUGGUACUAGUGAGGAAAUGCAGCAAGAGUUAGUCCAGCAUGAUGAGGCAGACCUGGAGGCACAAAGCCCAUGCAACCGACCUGAUUCAGUGGACUCUGAGGAGGAAGGAGAUCAUGCCAAUGAAAACGAAGGAAAGGUAACAAAGUUUUCUGACUGGAUCCGUCUGAAACCAAUGGAGAAGUGGUCACUGGUGCAUGACACAAAGGGAGCUAGGUACGGCAUCAUGGGCGCUGAUAUAUCAAAUAUAUACAAGAAUGACCCUGUAUUGAAAGGGAUAACAUGCCUUCCGCUCAGUGCGAUAGUGGAGGUGACAUUUCUGCGCUUGGUAGAGCACUUCAAAAACACAAGUGCUGCAGCAAAUGAAGCAAUUGGCAACCCAUCAAUGAACUUUCCUGAACGGGUCCAGGAUGACAUGAAUUCAAAAAUGGAGAAAUCCAAGAUGCAUCGCGUGAUUUGCCUAGACACCAAAAACAGAAAUGUUUUCCAGGAGAAACAGUUUCGGAAUUUUACAGUUCAAUCGAGGCAGAAGAAUGAGGUUGUUCACCUGAAAUCGGAAAGCAUAAGUAAGUUUGGCGAAUCCAUAAUACAAGAAAGUGCCACCUGUUCAUGCAACAAACCACAGCUGCUUCACAGGCCCUGCACUCAUGUCAUCGCUGUCUGUUGUCAGAUUGGGGUUAGCACUGCUACAUACAUGUCUCCAUACUACAGCCUGGCCUACCUAGGUAGUAUCUGGAGUGGAAAUUUUGAUGAAUAUAAGAUCUCACAGGGUUACAGAAAUAUCACGCCAUUUGAAUGCAACACAACAACUUGGAUCCCAGACAAAAUGUUGGAGUGUGGUCUUCCUGUUUUUGUAACAUCAGACUGCCUAGAAACUGUUGCGGAUGAGUCAGAGCAACAACACAACACUGGAAAUGGAUCAACUGAAGACAAUCAAGGAACGACAACACGCACUGAAGAACCUAAUGAGAUUUAA
This 2403-nucleotide ribosomal RNA is filed under the name Triticum aestivum (bread wheat). RNAcentral's name for it is "partial small subunit ribosomal RNA". The record is from RNAcentral. Lineage: Eukaryota; Viridiplantae; Streptophyta; Magnoliopsida; Poales; Poaceae.